Molecule: long non-coding RNA, 2242 nt
Filed under: Homo sapiens (human)
Lineage: Eukaryota; Metazoa; Chordata; Mammalia; Primates; Hominidae
Description: HSALNT0369106
Source: RNAcentral
ACACACGCCAUGACUUUUGUAGGAAGGAUGAAAAAAGCCUGGGCUAGGAACAAGAGGAUCUGAAGUCUAGUUCUCACUCUUACUCCAUUGCUGGCUACUUGAAUGGUCCCUAAAGUUCUUUAUGACUCAUCUGUAAAAUAAAAGCAUUGGCUAUAACAACCUUGACAUGGUCUGCUCUGAAACCACAAGUGUAAACACAAAGUACUGAAUGAAUGCAGAUAAAAAGGACCUUUAGGAAGGAGAUAAUUACCUAGUAUAGGUUCAGCUUAAAAUUAAUGGGUUAUCAGGCACUCUUCCCUUAAAACUUUUCCAAAAAUGAAUAUCACAACUACUUUCCCCAGCCCAGCACUUAGCACCCACCCACAGUCCUCUCUCGUCCUAUCAUCCCAGUCUACUCCUUUUUAUUCACCCUCUGUUUGAAACUGGACUGUUUGUUCUUCUCUAAACAAUUUGUGUAUUUAAACCUCCACGCUUUGACUCCCACUAUUCAUUCCACAUUGAAUCUCCUUCUGUCCCUAUCUGGGUAUUUCUAAAUCCUUUCCUAUGUUUUAAUUCCUGUGUUUUAAUACAUCCUUUGAGAAGCCUUCUGAACCUUCACAGAAUUUAUUUUCCUUUAUUCCUUAUGUCCUUCAACAUUUCUGCCUCUAUUUUGCAGAUGUGGCUUCUUUCUGUCUCCACAUUGUAAGCUUCUUGAAGGCAGUGGCUCCACCUUAUUUAUCUAUCACCCAACAACACGUAUUGCCAGAUAAGGCAAUAAAAUGUGCUGAAUAUAUUAUAGAAAGAUAAUUAUGAAUAUGACACAAUAACAAGACACUAUUUUUAAUGAACAAAUAUCUGAUAGAUUUUUUUCCACUUUAAAUGUGUCCAGAAUCAGAAUUCUAUAGCAGAAAGUUAGAGAUCAUGUGGUUCAAUUUCCUUCCUUUGAAGAAAACGAGGUCAGGAGAAGCUGACCACCUUACUAUGGUCACACUGCUCUUCUAUUUAGAAUAAAAACAAAACCAGACCAGCACUUUCCUAACCUUCCAACUCUCUCUCACCAUAAUGAUCUGCCCUUUCUCUUUCCAUAUGGAACAAUGGAAUAAAACAUAUGAAUCAUAGGAACCCAACAAUGAAUGAAACACAUUAUAUCUGUUGACAUAAUAAACUUGCGUAUCAGCUAAACCUAGCAUUUCCCAUUUCUCAAUCCUAAUUAUUCUUUUACCGUGCUAUUUCCUGUCCACCUAUUCGCUUUGGAAAAAAGGAUGCCUAACAACAAGGAGGGUCACUGUGGUAAUGACUGUCUUGAGACAGGCAGAAUUCUGACUGGACUGAGUUCAGCAGCCACCACGCAAGAGGCUGAUUUGCAUGUGGUUCUCUGAUGUGCUUUGGGAGACGACACCUCCUCUCAUCAAGCAUUAUCUGUCUGGCAUGCUUUUAACAGGACUGAAGUAAACAUAUAUAUUGGAGAAAUAUAGGAAAGGUGUGUUCUGAAAAACAAAUAUGUACACAGAGAUGAUGAAGCCAUAACACGAAUGUGUUACAUCCUUAGAGCAUCUUGGCUCAUUCCCGUAUUUGUUCAUAAACAUUUCACAAGCACAUCCUUUGUGCCAGGAACUUGCCAUAUUGUUUUGUAACCAAUGACACAUCUGUCUCCCCUGUUGGACUGUGAGUUCUUGCAGUCUAGUAAAGAGGGCAGGUAAUUCGAUAAAGGGUUAAAAGCCACUGUAAAUGUAGGAUUAGAGGAAUGUAGGCAGACGGUGAUGGGGACGUGGACAUGGGGCUGAUGGAGCACCCAACUGCCCAGCUGUGGGCUGACAGGAUAGUGUGGGUGGUUGAGGGUUGAGCUGGCUUUUGAAGUGUACAGAGAAUUCGCCAGCCAGAUAAGAGCGGAACGCAUCUGAGAGUGAAAAGAUUAUGCAAAGGCUCAGGCGUAUAAAAGAACCAUGUCACAUUCAGGAACUCUGAGGAGUGAGGAGUAGCAAGAGAGCAGUGGGUACUUGGAGCAAAUACGAUUGGAGACAAGGCUGGUGAGGCAGGCGGGAGAAAGCAGGGCUCAGUGUGCCCUGUACUGGAAUCUGCUCUUGCUCUGGGUUGAAGAUAGCAAGUGCAUCUCUGGGCAACUACUGCAGCUGGCUGUGGGGGACUGAUGCAUACUGUUGAGGCUGAUCUUACUCUGUCUCCUCUCUAUAAUCAAAAUGUGUCUCUGGAAGCUACUUCCCACCAUCCCUUGGCCAUUGGCACCUGGGCUUCUCACCUGUUCUGC